UGGGGAAUUUUGGACAAUGGGCGCAAGCCUGAUCCAGCCAUGCCGCGUGCGGGAAGAAGGCCUUCGGGUUGUAAACCGCUUUUGUCAGGGAAGAAAUCUUCUGAGUUAAUACCUCGGGAGGAUGACGGUACCUGAAGAAUAAGCACCGGCUAACUACGUGCCAGCAGCCGCGGUAAUACGUAGGGUGCAAGCGUUAAUCGGAAUUACUGGGCGUAAAGCGUGCGCAGGCGGUUUUGUAAGACAGAGGUGAAAUCCCCGGGCUCAACCUGGGAACUGCCUUUGUGACUGCAAGGCUUGAGUGCGGCAGAGGGGGAUGGAAUUCCGCGUGUAGCAGUGAAAUGCGUAGAUAUGCGGAGGAACACCGAUGGCGAAGGCAAUCCCCUGGGCCUGCACUGACGCUCAUGCACGAAAGCGUGGGGAGCAAACAGGAUUAGAUACCCUGGUAGUCCACGCCCUAAACGAUGUCAACUGGUUGUUGGGAAGGUUCCUUCUCAGUAACGUAGCUAACGCGUGAA
This 515-nucleotide ribosomal RNA is filed under the name uncultured bacterium. RNAcentral's name for it is "partial 16S ribosomal RNA". It matches the Rfam family "Bacterial small subunit ribosomal RNA", at positions 355 to 863 of the family's 1533-position model. The record is from RNAcentral.